Molecule: unclassified non-coding RNA, 89 nt
Filed under: Pseudomonas gessardii
Lineage: Bacteria; Pseudomonadati; Pseudomonadota; Gammaproteobacteria; Pseudomonadales; Pseudomonadaceae
Source: RNAcentral
UGUGGGAGCUGGCUUGCCUGCGAUAGCGGUGUGUCAGUGCCAAAUGCAUCAACUGGCACACCGCUAUCGCAGGCAAGCCAGCUCCCACA